RNAcentral lists this long non-coding RNA (579 nucleotides) under Ananas comosus (pineapple). RNAcentral describes it as "long non-coding RNA (ACOM_LNC031216)". The record is from RNAcentral. Lineage: Eukaryota; Viridiplantae; Streptophyta; Magnoliopsida; Poales; Bromeliaceae.
UCUUCGUUUCUCCGUUAAACGGUAUAUAUAUUUUUGGGGCAAUUGCUUAUAUAUUUCUGAAAAGUUCCCGACUUUUCGAUUUACCUCUUUUAGAAGGCUAAUAUUGAAAAUACCCUUUCUAUGUUCCAACCUAUUUCUAAUAUACUCCUAAAGUUAAAAUCUGUUAAGUAACUCUGUUAGUUUUGUAAAAUUACUAUUUUGUCCUUUCAAAUAUACCCUUCCACCAUCACUUUCUUUCUUAUUUGCCCUUAAAGUCAGGGGUAUAAAAAGUAUUUGACUUUUGGUCUUUUUCAAUAUACUCCUCUACCGUCACCAACCUUUCUUAUUUGCUCUUAAGUUAAGGACAAAAUUGGCAUUUUAAUUUUUUUUAACUGUGGUAGAUAUUUAACUCACGUUUAACCGAGGUUAACUUAACAGGAGAUAACUGCGGGGGUAUUUUGUAAUAACAGUGGAACAUAUGAGGGGUAUUUUAGAAAGAAAAAAAAAUAGAAAUAAAUCGAAUAUUUCCAAACGUAUGAGGGGUAUAUAGGCAAUUAUUAUUAUUAUUAUUAUUAUUAUUAUUAUUUUUACGCCACUACC